This is a long non-coding RNA of Passer domesticus (house sparrow), 3111 nucleotides long. RefSeq lists it as uncharacterized. The record is from RefSeq and is a predicted model, not a curated record. Lineage: Eukaryota; Metazoa; Chordata; Aves; Passeriformes; Passeridae. The transcript is spliced from 3 exons.
GUACUUUCCUCGCUGUUUCAAUCCUGUAAUUUAAUACCACAAAAGGGAAAGCAGAACGACACCCCCAGCACAGGAAACUCGGUUGUGUGGCAUCGUGGUGACACCCCAGUGAGUCAUCAUCUGAGCUGCUGCCAUGGGGUUCCGCACUGACCUCUGUGACCUCCUGAGCCAGCAGAGGAACAGCAAGCAAAGCUCUUCCGCUUCCUCGGCCAGCCCAACAUGGGCAGGGAGUGCUUUGCCCACAGAUUUGCAGAGGAAAGGUGUUGCUGUGCCAGGGAAUCUACUGUCUCCCAUUCUGGUGACACUCCAGCUGCUAAAGAGAUGUCCUUGUAUUCAGCAGGCUGAGGACGCACAGCAGUGACUUUAAACCAUGUGGCUCUGCAGGCCACCCUGCAGACAGAGCCCAAGGCUCUGCGUGUUGCAGUGGUGACCAGGGGCUGCUCGAGCAGCAAGGUUUGGCCAAGUGUCCUGAUUGUCACCUGCUGUGGUGACACACACGCUGGCCUGCUGGAGACUUGGGCUCAGCCACUUCCUGGGCAGGCUUUGCCAAGCACAGGCAGCUGAUGAGCCCAGCCUGAACCAGCCGCGAGAGCCCCACACAAUGCUCCGGCUGCUGGGAAUUACUUAAAGUCCCUUCUGGCUGCUCCACAGGACUGGGCUGGAAAAAGGGAUUUAUUGUUAUUGUUGGUAUCAUUAUCUGAGCGAACAUGCUGGUGUGAGGUCCCCACUCACUGCUUUUAUUGUCCUUCACAAGGAAGUCAGCCAUGGAGCCGGCUCCUUCCUGGCCAGCCAAGACUUCCCUGUGCCCACAGGAGCGGAGCAGCCACUAGGCCGGAUCCCGCGGCCCUCGGAUUGCUGCCCCAGCCCGGCACCUGCGGCUCACUGGCCCGUGUCCCCAGCUGCCUGGCCCAGGGAAAUGGGACAGGACAUUUGCAUGCUGGCAGCUGGGGAGCACUGGGGGAACUGGUCUCUGCCCAGCACUCCCAGUGCUGCCACCUGGGAUAUAAUCGCGGAGAAGGAAACCCUUACGGCUGGACGCUGGCUGGAAGCAGCUUUGUGAAUGAAACAUUGGCAGCUGAACCAACUGGCAAAUUCAGACAACUAACAGAGUUUCUUAAGUGUGUACUCAGUCAAUGAGCUCAAGAGCUAAUGCUCAAAGAGGAGGACUUACUGGGAAAUAAAAGGAAGAGCUCAAUAAGGAUUUAUGACCCUCUGUCUGGUGAGGUUGAAGGCUGAUCUGAGGCAAUAGUGACAGGUAUGCUAUUAUCAUAUGCCAAAUAGUUAAUAUUUUGCUGGAACAAGUUUGAUAGUGACAGUUGACUUCCCCCAGGGCAAGUGGCCUCUUAUGGAUGUUAUCUUCACUGUCAGCCUUGUUGGAUGUCUUGAAGGACAAGCUGAGACCUAAUUGGGAGCUGGAUAGCAAAGGGCUCAUGCAUAGGGAUGAGCCCUGGCUGUGGGUAGGUGGGAUAAGGAAACCUGGUGUUAUGAGUUCCAGGCUGUAUGUGUUAUGGGGUAAUUAGAAGAUUUCAAUCUUCAGGGGUGCACAAACUCUGUUAUCCAAACAGUCAUUGCCUGAAUUAUUCACAACCCAUUAAAAAAGAUAAGGAAAUUAAAUAUAAGAUAUAUGCACAUAAAUCAUUGUGAGUUCUUCCCAGUACCUGCUGUGGUCAAGAAUGAAACCUAGCAUCCAUUACUAUCUCCCUUUCUCACCCCUUUCUAACUUAUAAAAUAAAAUGAAAAGUGAAAUAUCAAUUUUGGAGCAAAUAUAUAUGAGUUGGUCACUCUUCAAGAUUAAUAUUAUGGAGGAGAUUGACUAUCACCUUUAUGCCUUCACCCAUAAGUGAUUUUUUGUGGUUUUUUUUCCCUUUAAAAAGAAAAUUAACAGAGAAAUUAAAUGCAAAAUGUGCGAGUGCACAAGUUUCAGGAUAUGUCAAAGACAAGUUUCUAAUCACCUCAUUGUGGAACACUAGGGUUAAUAUAAACUUACAUAAAAUAUUUUCUCUAGUUUAACUCACACCUUGCAGACUAUCCAGGAACCAGGUUUUCAGAGUCAGUAAUAUCUCAGUUGAAAGGAGAACAGAAACUGCAAAAUGGCAACGAUUCUGGAAAAAAAUCUGGCCUCUUUUCAAUGCAGUGCUAUGCCAUAAAUCCAGUGCCUACCUGGAGGAUGUUAGAGGAUGCAGGGUCACAGACCAAAUGAACUUCAAAAAUAUACUGUGCAAUAAUCUUCUCACAGUAAAAUGUAUGUCUAACAAGUGUUUUGUUGCUAUUAAGAAAUUGGUAAAUUAAAAUAAGAGAAAAAACUGUAAUUGUUGCUAUAAAAGAGAUCCUAGCAUCAAAGAAGGCUCAGGAUCUGGGAUUUGGCUCAGAUCCUAAAGACAGUCAAAAAAGCUCUGUGGAUGGCUUAGUAAAUUCCUAGGCAUCAGCAGUAUUUGUAGGCAACCAGAUUGGUGGAUUCAAUGUAUGUACAUAUUUUAUGAUACGGAAAUAUUGCAAAAUCAUUUUACAUGGCUUGAUCCUCAUGGCUGUGAUAUGAUACUUUCAUGGAUGGCUAAAUGGGUGCACCCUUUUUGACCCAGUGAAAUAGUGAAGGUGCUUACUAGUGUUUGGAUUAGCUCCUAGAAAUACUGUAUCCCCUCAAGUAUAAUUUAUGUUAACAGCUGAUGUGAACACUGAGUACUGGGAGCUGCAUGAUGAGGCCGGUAUUACCAGGUGCUCUGCAAUCCUAUGAGGUGCUGAGAGAUUUCUAGUGAAGUCAGAGAGAGGGAGACUGUCAGCCUCUGGCUGGCUUGAGGCUUUGCAGAACACAAAUUAGGUCCUAUCUACUUCUCUGCACUUUAGCUGGAAAUGCUCACUCUUUCAUGCUGGCUAGUUAUUGCUCUGCUUUAUUACAGCUUAUGAGAAACUAACAGAGUAAUAAGAGUCAGGGUUUUUUAUAAUCGUGUUGGAGUAGUGAUUUAACAGGACAUCAUGUUUUUCUGGAGAGAUUUUACAAAGCUUGUUUUAGUAAUUUGGAAUGAAAACACACAAAGCAGUGCAGUCCUAUUACCCAGUUAAAGAUCAUUGGAACAAAUACACAAUGUCAUAUGUAAUAGAGUUGGAUGGCUUAUU